GACGAACGCUGGCGGCGUGCUUAACACAUGCAAGUCGAACGGAAAGGCCUGCUUUCCCUUGUGGAUUGCGGGUACUCGAGUGGCGAACGGGUGAGUAACACGUGAGUGAUCUGCCCCCAACUUGGGUAUAAGCCUGGGAAACUGGGUCUAAUUCCCGAUAGGACUGCAGGGUGGUGCCUGUGGUUGAAAACGAUUUUCUAGUGGUUGGGGAUGAGCUCGCGGCCUAUCAGCUUGUUGGUGGGGUAAUGGCCUACCAAGGCGGCGACGGGUAGCCGGCCUGAGAGGGUGGACGGCCACAUUGGGACUGAGAUACGGCCCAGACUCCUACGGGAGGCAGCAGUGGGGAAGAUUGCACAAUGGGCGGAAGCCUGAUGCAGCGACGCCGCGUGGGGGAUGACGGCCUUCGGGUUGUAAACUCCUUUCGACCGCGAGGAAGCCACCUGGUUGGAAGGGUGGUGACGGUAGUGGUAGAAGAAGCACCGGCUAACUACGUG
This 494-nucleotide ribosomal RNA is filed under the name uncultured bacterium. RNAcentral's name for it is "partial 16S ribosomal RNA". It matches the Rfam family "Bacterial small subunit ribosomal RNA", at positions 28 to 507 of the family's 1533-position model. The record is from RNAcentral.